Danio rerio (zebrafish) is the source of this 55-nucleotide non-coding RNA. The record is from Rfam. NCBI's taxonomy places the organism in Eukaryota, Metazoa, Chordata, Actinopteri, Cypriniformes, Danionidae.
CUUGUCCUCAUUUGUUAAGUCGCUUUGGAUAAAAGCGUCUGCUAAAUGACUAAAC